RNAcentral lists this non-coding RNA (28 nucleotides) under Mus musculus (house mouse). The record is from RNAcentral. Lineage: Eukaryota; Metazoa; Chordata; Mammalia; Rodentia; Muridae.
UCCUCUGUCAUUUCCAGAAGGCUGUCUA